GAUGAAGAACGUAGUGAAAUGCGAUAAGUAAUGCGAAUUGCAGAAUUCCAGUGAGUCAUCGAGUCUUUGAACGCACAUUGCGCCCCCUGGUAUUCCGGGGGGCAUGCCUGUCCGAGCGUCAUUGCUGCCCUCAAGCACGGCUUGUGUGUUGGGCCUCCGUCCUCCUCCCGGGGGACGGGCCCGAAAGGCAGCGGCGGCACCGCGUCCGGUCCUCGAGCGUAUGGGGCUUCGUCACCCGCUCUUGUAGGCCCGGCCGGCGCUUGCCGACACAUCAAUCUUUUUUCCAGGUUGACCUCGGAUCAGGUAGGGAUACCCGCUGAACUUAAGCAUAUCAAUAAGCGGAGGA
RNAcentral lists this unclassified non-coding RNA (346 nucleotides) under soil metagenome. Its description in RNAcentral is "partial contains 5.8S ribosomal RNA, internal transcribed spacer 2, and large subunit ribosomal RNA". The stretch from base 1 to 121 matches the Rfam family "5.8S ribosomal RNA", at positions 35 to 154 of the family's 154-position model. The record is from RNAcentral.